UCAAAACAUUCUAUUUCUUCAAUUGUUUCAUGGUUGCCAUGGCUUUAAAAGAAGCAUUAAAGUAUUCAAAAAUCCUUUCUCUCAAUGGUCCAUGACUUUUCUAAGAAUCCAGCAUUGCUUCUGUAGUGGAACCAGGGGUUCUUAGUGACUAUCGAAGCUUUGCUACUGCUGCCAGAACACAAAAUAAAUGAAGGUCAUGUCCUAAUAUCUUUAGAGAAUCUUUCUGCAACAGAUCAACUAUGGAAUAUUUAUAAUAUACAGAUAGUGUUGGAAACUUGGAAAAGAUAUCUCUGAGGCUGACUUUAGAAUUUAUGUUUUUUUUAAAUAAUUUGCUCAAUUUUAAAAUCCUAAAGUGCAAUGCAUAUCUAUUUGUUUCAGGAAGAUUAUUCUGACUGCCUUCUUUCUUAGGCCUCACUGUAUCAUAACCCCUGUGCUACUUGCAUGCAUAUCCACCAUCACUGACUUGUUCCUUAAGAAUUGUUCCUGCGGAGACGGAGUGGCUGUCAGUCAGACAUGCUCUAGUCUAGAGGGGAUUUCAACUGCAGGUUGAUUUAGAUGUUGUUUCACAUCCUUGAAAUUCUAAGAAUCCCUGAUUCUGUGACAAAAGUUUCAACUCGGGAAGGAGCCUGUGAAUUGUGCAGAAAAUGUUGGUGGAUUUGGAAAAUGUUCUGAUUGUAGAAGGAGUAGAACUUGGACAGAUGCUGGCUAUACAAGGGUUAUAUCUAUUGAAGUCUCAGCAAGAGACAGCACACUCCAAAGGGCAACUGAAAAGACUUCACUGGAGAGACUGUUUACAAAUUGUGAGCAGGGCUCAGGGAACCAAUAGACACACCUGGGUUUAAUGUCAAGAAGUUACAUGGAAGAAGACGUUUUGCACAAUUUAAGAAAAUUCUGAAGAUUAGAACUCUCCAGCUGGAAUUAGAAAAGUAUGUGAAACAGGCUGACUCUAUUACUGGAAACAAACAAGAGGACAGGCUGGCUGUGUGCAAAUAUUCCUCAGGAAAGGAUCCCUGCAUUGGAUGUGACGUGUUUUGCUUCUUGAAAUUAUCGUUAGAUUCCACAUGACCUAUAUUAGCAUUAGAUUCUAUGAUUUCAUAAAUUUUAAAGAUUGAUUUCAA
Molecule: non-coding RNA, 1118 nt
Organism: Macaca mulatta (Rhesus monkey)
Lineage: Eukaryota; Metazoa; Chordata; Mammalia; Primates; Cercopithecidae
Source: RefSeq, a predicted model, not a curated record